Molecule: non-coding RNA, 651 nt
Organism: Rattus norvegicus (Norway rat)
Lineage: Eukaryota; Metazoa; Chordata; Mammalia; Rodentia; Muridae
Source: RefSeq, a predicted model, not a curated record
AGGCACAUUGUGAUCCCCAAGGCUCUAGUAUUUCUCAGCAUCUUUGGCCAGAGGUUGUGCUUUUCUCUUCCUGUGAAAUGUAUGUUACCAUAUGUCUAUAGGUGUUAAUGUUCCGUAGGACAGAACUCUAGGGUCUGUGAGACUUAGAGGCCAUUUACAGUCCAGCAGAGGAGGGGCAUUAGGGAAGGUGCAGAAGGCAUUGUUCCCGCAGUGUGCACACAGGAAACCAGCCCGAGGAGAAUGGAAUGCCUUUGCAAAUAUCUAAUGUUUGCUUGGCACAGCUUGUUCAGUUGAGCUUUGCAAAAUCUUCCUCAGCCUUUGUUUUCCUGGUUUCUGUGGAACGAGUUCAUGUCUCAAGGCAAGUUGGGGCUGGGCUGGCUGGAAACCGCUGAGGAAUUAGAACCCCUCAGACGAGAAGCGGCUCUUUGGUAAAGGCUGAGCUGAGUCCCUCAACACAGUGUGCACAUGAGCAGGUGACAGCUUGGAGAAGAUGGAGCUCCCUGGGCCUUGGGCAGCUGCAGCUGUGCUCUUUCUUCAUCAAGACGCCUCUCCAGUUUCUACUCUGGCUUCGUUGGGCUGGAUUCAAAGAGAAUGAGCUCUUACCCUUGUAUCCUCUUAGAGAUAAUAAUAAUUUUUAAUGGAUGUCUUCCA